CCUACGGGGGGCAGCAGUGAGGAAUAUUGGUCAAUGGGCGGAAGCCUGAACCAGCCAAGUCGCGUGCAGGAUGACGGCCCUACGGGCUGUAAACUGCUUCUAUACGGGAAUAACGCGCCUUACGUGUAGAGCUUUGCAUGUACCGUAUGUGUAAGGACCGGCUAAUUCCGUGCCAGCAGCCGCGGUAAGAUGGAAGGUCCGGGCGUUACGCGGAUUGGAUGGGUUUAACGUGAGCGUAGGCUGUAUGGCAAGCGUGCGGUGAAAUGUCCGGGCUCAACUCGGGCAUUGCAUCGCAAACUGGCGUGCUGGAGUCCGCGGAAAGCAGGCGGAAUU
RNAcentral lists this ribosomal RNA (333 nucleotides) under uncultured bacterium. Its description in RNAcentral is "partial 16S ribosomal RNA". It matches the Rfam family "Bacterial small subunit ribosomal RNA", at positions 338 to 668 of the family's 1533-position model. The record is from RNAcentral.